GACAGGCACGUCUCUUCCUAAGAAUGGCUGGGAGACUAGAAUGGCAGCUGUCUCAGAGAAAAUGCAAGUCACUGGGGGCAGGAAAAAGAGGAGACACAGGACAGCCGGCUCCCUCCGCUGCCUUUUCACCUUUUCUCUACUUCCUAAACCACCCCCUUGGCUGCCUUGUUGGCAGAUGUGAACUGGAAAAGCCUGCUUGGGGUGCCAUGUGAAGAUCAGCCCCACUGCAUCGGUGAGUCAGUCACAGGCUGUGCAGGGAACUCACUCACGGAGCUGGGUGGCCUGAGGAUGGGCUGUCCUGGCUAGAGAGCCUUGGCACAACCAUGCUCUCCAAUGGAGGACAAAAGAGAGAAAUACCAGGCUUGCGGCUGCUUUGAGUGGUCCCACAGUUGAAAUGCCAGGGAAUAUGAUUGGUGCAAUGAACCAUGUGGAUCGCCUACAGAGUUCCUCUGCGUGGAGGUCCAGUGUGGCUUUAUUUCACAAUCCCAAAAGCAUGAUGAUGUUCCUUUCUGAAAUCUGCUUUGGGGGCUCAGAAUUUUAACCUAAGACCACUUGGGUAUCUUCUGCAUAUUGAAUAAAGGUAUUGUGGUUUACAGACCUGGAUCC
RNAcentral lists this long non-coding RNA (606 nucleotides) under Homo sapiens (human). RNAcentral's name for it is "non-protein coding lnc-RPGR-6:2". Lineage: Eukaryota; Metazoa; Chordata; Mammalia; Primates; Hominidae. The record is from RNAcentral.